Molecule: non-coding RNA, 77 nt
Organism: Oncorhynchus kisutch (coho salmon)
Lineage: Eukaryota; Metazoa; Chordata; Actinopteri; Salmoniformes; Salmonidae
Source: the annotation of a RefSeq genome assembly
GUCUCUGUGGCUCAAUUGGUUUUAGCCGCGUUAGACUGUUAAUCUAAAGGUUGGUGGUUCGAGCCCACCCAGGGACG